CACGCGCCCCUAAAUUUUGCCACCUUCUUAAAUGGCUAAAAAUCACAAAGUACUCCACCUUUCUCUUUAAGAACUUUUUGACCCCGGAAGUAAAAGUUUAAGUGAGGGAGUCACGGGGUACAGCUGUUUCCGUUUCCGUACAGACGCCUGGAAGCAAACAUCAUGGCGAAGACCGGGGAUAACAGCGGCGGCCGAGGAAAAAAAGGCCUGAAACGGAAGGCGGCCGCCGAAGAACCCCAGGAGGCUGCAGUCGCUGAGGAUGGAGCGACCGAAAGCGGGGUCCAACCCCCGAAAACGACCGCCUUCCCCCCAGGCUUCAGCAUUUCGGAAAUUAAGAACAAACAACGGCGACAUUUAAUGUUCACGCGGUGGAAACAGCAGCAACGUAAGGAAAAGUUGGCAAUUAAGAAAAAACUUAAGAAAGAGAGAGAAGCUCUUGGUGAUAAGGCUCCACCAAAGCCUGUACCAAAGACCAUUGACAACCAGAGAGUAUAUGAUGAAACUGUAGUAGACCCUAAUGAUGAAGAGGUUGCUUAUGACGAAGCUACAGAUGAAUUUGCUUCUUACUUCAACAGACAAACUUCUCCCAAGAUUCUCAUCACAACAUCAGAUAGACCUCAUGGGAGAACAGUACGACUCUGUGAACAGCUCUCCACAGUUAUACCAAACUCACAUGUUUAUUACAGAAGAGGACUGGCUCUGAAAAAAAUUAUUCCACAGUGCAUUUCAAGAGAUUUCACAGAUCUGAUUGUUAUUAAUGAAGAUCGUAAAACACCAAAUGGAUUAAUUCUAAGUCACUUGCCAAACGGCCCAACUGCUCAUUUUAAAAUGAGCAGUGUUCGUUUGCGUAAAGAAAUUAAGAGAAGAGGGAAGGACCCUACAGAACACAUACCUGAAAUAAUUUUGAAUAACUUUACAACGAGGCUGGGUCAUUCAGUUGGACGUAUGUUUGCAUCUCUUUUUCCCCACAAUCCACAGUUUAUUGGAAGGCAGGUUGCCACAUUCCACAAUCAGCGGGACUAUAUCUUCUUCAGAUUUCAUAGGUGAGGAAGGUACAUAUUCAAGAGUGAAAAGAAAGUGGGAAUUCAAGAACUUGGACCACGUUUUACCUUAAAAUUAAGAUCUCUUCAGAAAGGAACCUUUGAUUCUAAAUAUGGAGAAUAUGAAUGGGUCCAUAAGCCCCGGGAAAUGGAUACAAGUAGAAGAAAAUUCCAUUUAUGAAAUACUGAAGGAAUAGUAUUGAAUUGUGCUAAACAGACCUAUCUUGAAUUUAUGACAGAAGACCCUUUUCAGAAUGUCAUUUACUGGUUUCAUAAACCUUUUCACGUGUGGACAAAAUACCAAGUGCCAUGAAUUACCAUUCACUGUAGCAAAUACAAAUAAAAGUCAUUUUGGUGAUUUAGAAGUUGCA
RNA transcript from Enhydra lutris kenyoni (northern sea otter), 1411 nucleotides. It is a transcript of the gene named ribosome production factor 1 homolog, with no coding region annotated. The record is from RefSeq and is a predicted model, not a curated record. The transcript has 9 exons. NCBI's taxonomy places the organism in Eukaryota, Metazoa, Chordata, Mammalia, Carnivora, Mustelidae.